UGGACGGUGCGACUUCCUAUUCAUCUG
RNAcentral lists this non-coding RNA (27 nucleotides) under Mus musculus (house mouse). The record is from RNAcentral. Lineage: Eukaryota; Metazoa; Chordata; Mammalia; Rodentia; Muridae.